RNAcentral lists this ribosomal RNA (406 nucleotides) under uncultured bacterium. RNAcentral's name for it is "partial 16S ribosomal RNA". It matches the Rfam family "Bacterial small subunit ribosomal RNA", at positions 30 to 526 of the family's 1533-position model. The record is from RNAcentral.
AUUGAACGCUGGCGGCAGGCCUAACACAUGCAAGUCGGGCGAGUGGCGGACGGGUGAGUAAUGUAUGGGGAUCUGCCUGAUGGCGGGGGAUCACUACUUGAAACGGUAGCUAAUCCCGCAUUCCAUCAAAUGCACCCAUAUGGGAUUAGCUAGUAGUUAAGGUAACGGCUGACCUAGGCGACGAUACCUGGCUGGUCUGAGAGGAUGAUCAGCAAAACUGGGACUAGAACACGGCCCAGACGCCAACGGGAGGCAGCAGUGGGGAAUAUGUCAAAAUGGGGGCAAGCCUGAUGCAGCCAUGCCGCGGGUAUGAAAAAGGCCUUCGGGUGGUAAAGUACUUUCAGUGGGGAGGCGUUACCGAAAGAAGAAGCACCGGCUAACUCCGUGCCAGCAGCCGCGGUAAUUC